AACUGUCAAAUCUAUAUUGGGUGAAAGCUUUACCGAACUUCGAACACCACAAAGUUUACGGACCAAUUAAGGACGGGGAUGCAUGCCUACACACGUUUAGUUUUCGCCGUUUUAAAAUUUUAAUACUU
Molecule: small RNA, 128 nt
Filed under: Arabidopsis thaliana (thale cress)
Lineage: Eukaryota; Viridiplantae; Streptophyta; Magnoliopsida; Brassicales; Brassicaceae
Description: ATSL236170
Source: RNAcentral